AGGCUUAACACAUGCAAGUCGAGGGGCAUCAGUUUGGUUUGCUUGCAAACCAAAGCUGGCGACCGGCGCACGGGUGAGCAACACGUAUCCAACCUGCCGUCUACUCUUGGACAGCCUUCUGAAAGGAAGAUUAAUACAAGAUGGCAUCAUGAGUCCGCAUGUUCACAUGAUUAAAGGUAUUCCGGUAGACGAUGGGGAUGCGUUCCAUUAGAUAGUAGGCGGGGUAACGGCCCACCUAGUCUUCGAUGGAUAGGGGUUCUGAGAGGAAGGUCCCCCACAUUGGAACUGAGACACGGUCCAAACUCCUACGGGAGGCAGCAGUGAGGAAUAUUGGUCAAUGGGCGAGAGCCUGAACCAGCCAAGUAGCGUGAAGGAUGACUGCCCUAUGGGUUGUAAACUUCUCUUAUAAAGGAAUAAAGUCGGGUAUGGAUACCCGUUUGCAUGUACUUUAUGAAUAAGGAUCGGCUAACUCCGUGCCAGCAGCCGCGGUAAUACGGAGGAUCCGAGCGUUAUCCGGAUUUAUUGGGUUUAAAGGGAGCGUAGAUGGAUGUUUAAGUCAGUUGUGAAAGUUUGCGGCUCAACCGUAAAAUUGCAGUUGAUACUGGAUAUCUUGAGUGCAGUUGAGGCAGGCGGAAUUCGUGGUGUAGCGGUGAAAUGCUUAGAUAUCACGAAGAACUCCGAUUGCGAAGGCAGCCUGCUAAGCUGCAACUGACAUUGAGGCU
This 722-nucleotide ribosomal RNA is filed under the name uncultured Bacteroidales bacterium. Its description in RNAcentral is "bacterial SSU rRNA". It matches the Rfam family "Bacterial small subunit ribosomal RNA", at positions 44 to 753 of the family's 1533-position model. Lineage: Bacteria; Pseudomonadati; Bacteroidota; Bacteroidia; Bacteroidales. The record is from RNAcentral.